GACGAACGCUGGCGGCGUGCCUAAUACAUGCAAGUAGAACGCUGAAGAGAGGAGCUUGCUCUUCUUGGAUGAGUUGCGAACGGGUGAGUAACGCGUAGGUAACCUGCCUUGUAGCGGGGGAUAACUAUUGGAAACGAUAGCUAAUACCGCAUAACAAUGGAUGACACAUGUCAUUUAUUUGAAAGGGGCAAUUUCUCCACUACAAGAUGGACCUGCGUUGUAUUAGCUAGUAGGUGAGGUAAUGGCUCACCUAGGCGACGAUACAUAGCCGACCUGAGAGGGUGAUCGGCCACACUGGGACUGAGACACGGCCCAGACUCCUACGGGAGGCAGCAGUAGGGAAUCUUCGGCAAUGGGGGCAACCCUGACCGAGCAACGCCGCGUGAGUGAAGAAGGUUUUCGGAUCGUAAAGCUCUGUUGUAAGUCAAGAACGGGUGUGAGAGUGGAAAGUUCACACUGUGACGGUAGCUUACCAGAAAGGGACGGCUAACUACGUG
Molecule: ribosomal RNA, 497 nt
Filed under: uncultured bacterium
Lineage: Bacteria
Description: partial 16S ribosomal RNA
Rfam family: Bacterial small subunit ribosomal RNA
Source: RNAcentral